RNAcentral lists this ribosomal RNA (468 nucleotides) under uncultured bacterium. RNAcentral describes it as "partial 16S ribosomal RNA". It matches the Rfam family "Bacterial small subunit ribosomal RNA", at positions 28 to 507 of the family's 1533-position model. The record is from RNAcentral.
GACGAACGCUGGCGGCGUGCUUAACACAUGCAAGUCGAACGGAAAGGCCCUGCUUUUGUGGGGUGCUGGAGUGGCGAACGGGUGAGUAACACGUGAGUAACCUGCCCUUGAUUUUGGGGUAACUUCAGGUAACUGGGGCUAAUACCGGAUAGGAUCUCCUGCUGCAUUGUGGGGGUUGGAAAGUUUCGGCUGUUGGGGAUGGAUUCGCGGCUUAUCAGCUUGUUGGUGGGGUAGUGGCUUACCAAGGCUUUGGCGGGUAGCCGGCAUGAGAGGGUGACCGGGCACAUGGGGACUGAGAUACGGAGCAGACUCGUACGGGAGACAGCAGUAGGGAAUAUUGCCCAAUGGGCCGAAGCCUGAUGAAGCAGCGCCGCGGGCGGGAUGACGGCCUUCGGGGUGUGAACCGCUUUCGCCUGAGACGAAGCGUGAGUGACGGUAAUGGGAAAAGAAGCACCGGCUAACUACGUG